UGAACGUGUACAGGGGAGCCAAAGUGACCAGAGGGAGCCUUCAGCACGGAAUCCCAUAUGCUGCCAGGUCCCAGAGUCUGGCUCCUAUUACCAGUACACAAGACCUAUCAAAACCUGGCUCUAGGCCCCCGGGGACUGGCAGACAUCUUCAGGGCACAGUGCCAAAUGUGUUCAUGAAGACAGUAACAUUCCUCUCAUCAUUUUCUCCAGAACUUUGGUGCUUUGAGUCAAAGGUUGACAUAAAGCUUUCAAAACAAAUGUGACUUCCCUGAAGUGACCAGCGACCGCAGUCGUGGCAGGAUUAUGCAGAACUGGAGUGGGCUGAAUGAUUGGAAAGACAGCCUGUCUGCUGGUUACCUAAAAUAACAUCGUUGGUGGAUAUCAGCAAAUCACACAUGGUCGAGAUGGGGAGACUGACAGUCAGCCUCUGGCAAGGUUUCCCUGUGACUUGGGGUUUGAGAGUCUCUGGAGGCUGUGGGAAGACAGAAGCAGAUACUGACUCAGUUCCUGCCCAGAACAAUAGUUGAGCGUAUGUGUGUGCAUAGGUGUGUGUGUAUUUGGUGUCCAGAUAUGCACUGUAUGUGUAUAUGUACAUUUAUGUGUGGUCUGUGUGUGUGCUGGGAGUAGUAUAAGUGUGGAGGGUGGUGUGUGUAUGUUUCUGCCCUGUGUGCCAUGGCUGUGGUGUGUAGGUGUGGUUGUGUGUGUAUUUGCCUCUGUGUGUGCGUGUGUUAUGAAGGUGCUGAGGCAAACAUUCUGCAUGAGACUGAGAAGAUGGUGACCAGGAGAGAAAAGAAUGGAGGCGACUCUCUCUUAGCCAAGCCCUUGAAGUGCAUUGGACAUGUUCAUCCCAGGGGGCCGAGUGAACAGGAGACUGACUGGGCCACCGAGCAACUGAUAGCACCUAGCAAUGGUCCCUCUUGGUUGGGAAGGCUCCUCGCCUCUGCAGGGUAGGAAGAGAAGUAUAUUCCAAAGAAAAUUUGACAGAAAGGAGAGAAAGGGCUCUCCGGCUUCCUUUGCAGUUUAUGCACAGCUUUUAGUUUGUACAAUUUUUUUUCAGUAUAGCUCUGUGCCAAAAGAGCUGGCUCAGUUGAGCAUGUGGAGGAAAAUUCAUGGCCUGAGUCAGUCCCAGGCCACAUCAAACAAAGCAAGGCAUUUUUGUCCUUCCUGGCAGGGACAGCAGCAGGGAGAUUAUAAAGGAUUUUGGUCAAGGGAGUGUCGUAAUGAAUAUCCUGUUCUAGGAGCCCUGAGGCUCUGGAUGGAUUGGAGGAGAGACAAUGAACGCCUUGCCCUAAGUCACAGCCCUGUUGCUCUCUGGUUGAGUGUCGGCAGAGCCCCAGAUGGAUUUACUGGUCAGUGCAGGUCAUUGGAAUGGUGGUCUCACUGCAGACUUCCUGGCUUCCUGUGCAGAGCUCUUUCCACCACCCCAGCUAACAGGAUCUGUGGUCUCCUCUAUCUCUGUGGUGCCUUCAGAAUCUCGUGUUUCACCUGGGUCUGGAGAAGUGCUCUGUCUGACCAAUAUGUCACAGGCUCUUCAGACACCAGGUCUGAGGGUUUGGACAAGCCCUGCUCCUUGCAAGGGAGCUUAAUGGGACUUGACAUAAAAGCUGCCCACAACGACAUUUUGAGUUUACUGAGCAGAAACUGAGAUCCACUUGCAAAAUUACUUUAAGGGCUGAAUUGGAUGGGCCUCAUACUCCACUUUCAGAAAAUCCUUUCAUAAAUGAUUAACUAAUGACACAAAAUGAAAAUGUUGCCAGUUGGCUGUUGACCACAUGGUGCAAAUUGCCUCUCCAGCUUGAAGGUCACCAGUGUCUCCAUUAACAUUUGGGACAUGGAUAUCCUAAGUUUGACCUUGGAACAUUUGAGGAAAUAGCCUGAUUUUUAAACGAUAUUUUUUAUUGAGGUAUAAUUUCUAUAGAGAGAAAUGCUCAGCUCUAACCUACAGAGUUUGAUGAAUUUUGACAAAUUUACACGAGUGUAACCACCAUCCCAAUCAAGACAAAACAUUUCCAUCACCUAAAAAGUUCCCUUUUGCCCUUUUUCAGUCAAUCCCAACUGUUCUGACUUCGAUCAUCAUAGAUUGUUUUUGACUUUUCUAGAGUGUCUGUUAUGGACUGAAUGUUUGUAUCCCUUCGAAAUUCAUAUGUUGAAACCUUAACCCUCCAGUGUAAUGGUGUUAGGAGGUAGGGCCUUUGGGAGGUGAUUAGGCCAUGAGGGUGGAGCCCUCAUGAAUGGGGUUAGUGCUCUUCUAAGAGGGAUCCCAGAGAGAGCCCUUACCCCUUCUGCCAAGUGAGGCCGCAGUGAGAAGAUGGCCAUUUAUGAACCAGGAAGCGGGACCUCAACAGACACUGAAUCUGCUGUCUCCUUGAUCUUGGACUUCCCAGCCUCCAGAAAUAUAAGAACGAAAUUCCUGUUGUUUAUAAAUCCUCCAGUCUAUGGUAUUCUGUUAGAGCAGCCCAAACUAGGACCGUGUCAUAUAAAUGGAGUCAUACAGGAUAUAGCCUUUUGUGUCUGGUUUCCUUCACUGAGCAAAAUAUUUGUGAGAUUCAUCCAUGUUGUUGUGUAUAUGGGUGGUCCCUUCCUUUCUAUUGCUGAAGAGUUUUCCAUUGUAUGUAUAUUCCACAGUUUGUUUAUCCAUUCAUCUGUUGAGGGACAUUUGGGUUUUUCCAGUUUGUAGCAGUUAAGGAUAAAGCUGCUUUGAACGUUUAUGUACCAGUCUUCGUGUGAGGUAGGUAGAAACUACAUAUGUCUAGGGUAAAAACACCUAGGAGUAGAAUUCCUGGGUCGUAAGAUAGGUGUAUGUCUAACUUUAUAAGAAACUUGUGGCUUGUUUUUUGUGUCACCUUCCUGAAAGGAUGUUCAGAAGUCAGCGUGCAAAGCCCACACCAAAACAACCUCCACAGGGAGAAGGUGGUAACAGAGGGUUGACAGCUUUUAUUGCAAAAAACUGUUUUAACCAAUUCCUGAAUUAACCAACUCCUGAGUCGUUUUUAUAAUUGGUGCUAACUUUGGUCUGUACCCAAGAAAAUGCUCAUUCACAUUAGUAACGGAAGCAGACUAAGCGGGGCAACAAGGAAGCAGACUAAGCGGGGCAACAAUACUGAAAAGCGCAGAAGGUUAUUUACGCCAAAAGGUUGACCACACCUUUCGGAAUUUUGCCUUAAGCUCAAGCAAUUACAGUUUAGCAGGGUGUUUAUUGAGAAAGUAAACUGUGGAAAGGUCACCCUUUGAAAAGCUAAUCUGAGUCCCGAAUUUUCACUGCUGUAGACUCCGUUUUAUCCAGGAAAGAUAAACAGGCUAUUCUGUGACUCUAGGGCCUGGCUGUCUGGGCCUUCACCCUCUGUUAGAUGUAUCAUCAAGCCGUAUUGCACAAGAAAGCAGCAUGAGAAAGCUUUUGUGUUUGGCAGACUAAACAGGGGCAAGGGGUCUGACCCUGGCUGGACCUGUGGGGAACUGGAGCAAAGGGGUCUGACCACAGUUAUGUGGAGGACCCCAGAACCCCUUGGAAAUGCUGCUUCCCUUGGCAAGACCUCAGAGGAAAUGGCUACCGGGUGGCUGGUGAGGCCAGGAACUAGGAAUUAUGGCCUAGAAAGCUCAUGCGAGAGGCUGGACUGGCACAGCCUCCCCACCUGGAAAGUGGGGCCAUCAGAAGUGGAAGCUAGAGCGGGGGCCUGCCGCCGUGGAACAGGAGCAUCGGCAGGCUGCUGGCACGUCUCGGGGGACCAAAACCACUGACGCUGCAUUUCCUGGCAGUGUUAGUUGUCCUCUCUCGUAGGAUGAAUCGUUGUCACCAUUCCUCAGACGCUUCCUGUCUUAGAAUUUUACACUCACGCCCUUUGCCAUGUGACUCUGCAGGCUCCCCAUUAGCGUGAGUGGAGGAGACCUCCUGCCACUGGUGCUGGCACGGCCAUGUGGCUUGUUUAGUCAGUGGGGUGUGGGCAGGAGUGAAUCAAGAGGCCUCAGGAGGCAUCGUGUGUCUCUGCCUAACUUUCUGUGGUUUGUUAUGCAGGAUUAUCAUAGCAUUUGCUCACUGACAUUUACACUAAUAAUGUUUCCUCCUGUUUCAUAAUAAUUCAAAUAGCAAUUUUUAACUGGCUGUUUUUAAUAAGACUGACUUUCCCAGCCUUCCUUGCAGCUAGGUGUGACCAUGUAACUAUUCUGGUCAAUGAGAGGUUAGUAGAAAUGUUGUGUGGCAGCAUUUCUGAGACCUUUCUUAAAGGCCUGUGGCACGCAAUGUUCACCACUUCCUGCAUCCUGCUAUCUGGAACAAAGAUAUGAUGGCUGGAGCUCUGGCUGACGUUUGGAUCCUGAGAAAGAAGGCCAUGUGCUAGGGAAGAUGGAGCAGUGAGCUGCCGGGGCUCUUCUAUGAGAGACAAAUAAACUGUGUUCUUUAAGCCUCUUGAUCUUUAAAAUUCCCCUGCUGAGCUUACUCCAGACACAGUUCUCAAGCCAAUUUUUAUAAAUCUGAUAAAUAACUGUGAUUUUACUUAGAAGUAGACUAGUGUGCAGCAAUGAUCCACUGUUACUACUAAUCAGCUGUUUGGUACUAAUCCAAAUGGGAACAGCACUUAACAGUUUAAAAAUAAAUCUCUCGGGAGGGAGAAUGGGGAGCGACUGGUAACAGGUACGGGUUCUGUUGGGGGCAAUAAAAAUGUCCUAAUAUGAGAUAGUGGUGGAGGUCGGACAACUCUGUGAGUAUAUGGAAAACAAUAGCAGGGUGUACUUUUAGAGGGUGAAUUUUACGGUAUGUGAAUUGUAUCUCAAUGAACUGUUAAAAAACUGAUCACCUGUUCAUUGUUUACACCGUUGUGAGGCGGGUGCAGUGUUUUCCCCUGCACCACAGCACAGGAAACUGAGGCUCAGGGAGCUUACGCGGCCCUCCCAGUUCACUCACCUCGUGAGUGUCAGAGACAAGAGGGGAACUCGGGUCUCCUGACACCAGUGCCUGUGCUUCCUCCACUCUCUCCAGCGUGUUUGCACCUCCGUCUCGGGGCCGCAGGAACCUGGACUCAGGGACUAUUUAGACAACACUGAGUUGGAGGUAAAGCUUGUUUUCAGCUCUCCAUUUUAGCACCUUCUCCUCUGGCACCCGCUUCCUUCUAGUCACCCUCUCUUAUAUGCCGAGUACCCUGGUUGUUCAGGGUCCCCGCCCACUCUGGUUUACAAGUAUUCUUGCCAGGAAAUAUAAAAAGAUAUUUGACUGAUAUAAAUCAACAUAUAACACAAUCGCAAGUAGCUUUGCACACGUUGCCAGCAACACUAACUCUCACGUGCCCUCCCCGACACUUAGGGUGGCUAGAGGUUUGGGACAUCUUCCUUUUGGCCUCCAUGAUCUGGAGGACUUCCAGUUGACAGCAACACACAUUUAUGGGAGGUCUGCUAUGAACCAGCGAUUUUGAUGGAUGUUUAGAUGCAUUCUUCCUUCAGCUUCCCAACGAUCCAGAGAAUCUGUGCUUUGAUGAGCCCAUGUUACAGAUAAGGAAACCACAGCUCAGAAAGCUUAGGUGACCUACCCAAGGUCCUGCAGAUGGUGAGUGACCAAGUCAGACUUCGCACCCGGGUCUCCUAGUUCUGAGCCCCGCAUUCUUUUCCUUAUUUCGUACACGCGUUUGUUCCUUAGUAUCCCCCAUGGGGUCCACCACAGGUCUGGAGCAGAAGAGGAGUUCCAGAAGGGAAUGAAAAAGAAAUAAAUGAAAGCCAGCCUUUGCCAGCUUACUCAAAGGCUUUUUUCCCUUAAGCAAGAUUUAUAAAUCAGCCCUCAACCCCAGCACAUGCAUGCACGAGAGCGAGACUCACUCUGGGGUUUUCAUUUCCAAAAGAAGACUACCAACUGCUCUGGAUUGAUGACACCGUUUGGGCGUAAAAUGGGCAGAAGGAGGACGGUAGGAAGAAAAGCAGGAGAGAUGUUGCUGCCUCUUCUCAGAGGUAACACGAGCUGCCUAAACCUCUGCUGAGGAGAUAGAAGGCAAGCAUCCUGGGAGAGGAACCCCUUGGGAGAGUUUGAAGGAGACUGAGUGUCAAGGAAACCCGCAAACUACAGCAGGAAAGGCAAGGUUGGAAAAGGCACAGGCUGGAAAGAUGCAGAAAGUCUCUCGCAAAACUAACCUAUCAUUUAAUGCCAUUUAUAUAUCUUUCCUUUUUUCAGCAUGGAUUGCGGCUAGCUGGACACUGGGCCCUCCGCUGGCACUGUGGUCACUGCUGGCCCCAGUGCCACCAAUGCCACAGGACACUGGAUGCCAUAGCCACCAACUCCACCAGAAGGAGUUCCGAUUAUGUUGUUCAGUCUGGAUUUAGAAGUCUCAGGAUACAAACCAGGACCAACCAGGACCAAUCAGGACCAAUCAGGAAAAGUCUGGAAGGGUCCCAAACUUGGAACUUCUGUGUCCUCUCCACAUGGAACCCAGGGCGCACUCGACCCUCUCAGCGCAUCAAUGUGUUCACCUGCCAGGAAGUUCACCCAAGCCUCAGUGUCCAGAGUUUUUCUUGGGGUUUCAUUACAUAAGCAUGGUUAACUGAAUCCCUGGCCAUGUGAUUGAACUCAGUCUUUCUCAGUUGAACCCACCCCUCUGGACUGAUAUCACGUGGCUCAAAGCCCCAACUCUCUAAGCACAUGGUUGAUCUUUCUGACAUUGCCAGCCCCCAUCCUGAAUCUAUCUAGGACCCACCAGGAGUCACCUCAGUAGCAUAAACUCAAGUGUGUUCCCGGGGGCCCACUGUGAAUAACAAAUCCCAAGAGUUUAGAAGCUUCAUCCCAGGAAUCCAGGACAAAGACCAGAUAAAUCAUUAUACAACAAUAUCCCAUAGCAUGGCUGUCACAAGGCUGAAACAUUUAAGCUGGAUCUGACUAAAGGCUAACACUGUGAUGGCUAGAGUUUCCCUUGGAUCCCAACCUGCUGUGAUCUUAGUGACAGCCUAGUGUGCUGUGUGGAGGAUUCUGAAGCCACUUCCAGGAUUAAUUGGAAGGAGGGACAUGAUCAACUAGUCAUGACAGCCCUGGAAUAGAAGGGCAUUGGAAGGGGAGAGUGAGAGUGUGCAUGUGGGGUACUUGCUAACGCUGGGCUAAGGAUUAAAAAAAAAAAGGAAAAACCAUUUGCUGUUUGCUAAUGAAGACUUGCUCUUUAGAACAUGUAAGACCCAUCCCACUUCAGCUCCUGUCCUAAUGCCAUGUAGUGGGUGCCAUGUUUAACCCUUACCACACAAGAGGUCAUGUCUUUUUAUUUCUUCUCCUCAAAAUCUAGACUCAUGAAAGGGAGACUCAGAGAGAGAUGAGCGUGCCUUGGCUGCCCCCUGAAUUCUGGUUUUGAAACUAAGGAAUCAUGUCUACCCCAUGACUGUCCUAGUGAAUACAGGCAUUUUUAGGGGAUAUCAUGUCAACUCACAUGUUGGGUUGAUAGUCAACUGAUACGAACCAUUGGCUAUACCAAUUCUUAAAACAUGGAAACACUUCAUGCUGGUUGGUAAGUGAUGGCUGCUCCCCACUCCUGGAGAGGCCUUCUGCUAUUCUGGCUUUCCUGCCCCUCUCCUGGGACCAGGAGGGCUACAGACAGUGAUUUUCAGAGCUCAGUGCAAAACGAAAAUGCAGGACCGUUUGUUCAAAGUUUAUUAAGAAUGUCAAGAUGGCCACAGCAGAGCAUUCAGCCAAGCACAUCCCUUGACCCCACCAAUGCAGGAGGAGCACAGAGGGUGACCAAGAAAUAAAGCUAUUUUAAGACACUAACGUUGGAGGGUUGACUGUCACUGCAUCAUAACUUGGUGCAUUCUGACUAAUACGCACCAAUGCCCUACAAGUUCUUACGUAUUUUGACUGUCACCCUGCCCAUGUGAUGGUCUCCUUGACACCCAAACAAGACAACCAGAGUUGUUUUCUUGGAGCCUGGCUUGACUAUUAUCGGAAACUCUCAGAAUUACACAAGGCACAACCAUAUUCCCAAACCCUAUUUUUAACAUAUGAACUUUGCCAGUAUAAUGAAACCAACAUUCAGAUAAAAUAGUAAAAGUGUGUUUUUAUAAACUUGUUUUAAUACGUCACCACAAAAUAGAAGGACUUAUGUUUUCAUUGGAUACUUUUCUUAAGGGAGUGCCAAUUUCCUCUCACUGCUCCUGGAUCUGACUGAGGCAGCUCAAGAAGGAGGAAGUCAGGGGAAACAGUGGGUUUAACUUUUAUUGAUUUGUGUAGUUAAUCUCCUUCCUGACCGGUUGGGUGAGCAGAAGAAAAGAACAAAGAAAGGAGGAAUGCUGGCCUCCCAGCAAAGCUCCUCCACCCCCUUUCCAGCUCCUCCCUCUCCUGCUCUACCCCUCGGAGGAGGGGCGCUGAGGAGCGUUCGUCAGCAUCAGCGUCAGUGUUUGGAGGGACUAAAGCGUUCAGGAUUAAAAAAUAAACACAGCCGGAGGUUCAAGGCAGGAAAAAGGGGAAGGGAUGAACAAGCAGAACACAGGAAUUUAGGGCAGUGAAACUAUUCUGUACGGCACUCUAAUAGUGGAUACAUGUCUGUAUAUGUUUGUCAAAACCUAUAGAAUGUACAACAAAGAGUGAUCCCUAAUGUAAACCAUGGGCUUUAAUUAAUAAUAAUGUAUUAAUAUUGGUUCAUCAAUUAUAACGAACGUAACAUUUAUGCGAGAUGUUAAUAAUAGGGGAAACUUGGCGGGGUGAGGGGUUAUAUGGGAACUCUGUGUAUCGUCCACUCAAUUUUUCUGUAAACAUAAAACUGCUCAAACAAAAAUCAAGUCUAUUAAUUUCAAAAGAAGAAUAAUAAAUGCUUAUUAGAGAAAAUGCUCUCCUUCUUGCUUCUUGCUGCUUGUUGUUACUCUUUCUCAGCCAGGCCUCUCCUAACCAAAGGAAAGAUAAAGAAAGAGCGUAUUUUGUUGUGAGCUCAGGAGAAAGGCUAAGAGA
This 8890-nucleotide long non-coding RNA is filed under the name Equus asinus (donkey). RNAcentral's name for it is "lncRNA (ENSEASG00005026443.1)". The record is from RNAcentral. Lineage: Eukaryota; Metazoa; Chordata; Mammalia; Perissodactyla; Equidae.